GGAUUGUGGCUCAGUGGUAGAGCGCUCGCCUAGCAUGUGUGGGGCCCUGGGUUCAAUUCUCAGCACCA
Molecule: transfer RNA, 68 nt
Filed under: Marmota monax (woodchuck)
Lineage: Eukaryota; Metazoa; Chordata; Mammalia; Rodentia; Sciuridae
Description: tRNA.Ala
Rfam family: tRNA (bases 5-65)
About the family: Transfer RNA (tRNA) molecules are approximately 80 nucleotides in length. Their secondary structure includes four short double-helical elements and three loops (D, anti-codon, and T loops).
Source: RNAcentral